Penaeus vannamei (Pacific white shrimp) is the source of this 653-nucleotide non-coding RNA. Lineage: Eukaryota; Metazoa; Arthropoda; Malacostraca; Decapoda; Penaeidae. The record is from RefSeq and is a predicted model, not a curated record.
GCGCAGGUGGGACUCCUGGUGUGGCAGAGGUCAGACGGCAAUCGGCAGGUCGCGGUGGGGUCACGCCUCAAGACCCCGUCCCUGCCGAUCUGGGUCACGCGAUGCAACGGCUCCUAUGGGGUCCUUUUCAACCCCAAUCGGGAGCUGCUGAGGGACUACCACGCUGAGAACAGGUUCAACCUCUACUACUACUCGUGCUCGUCCAACCACCCGACGCCCACCCUCGUGACCAUCGACGCCCGCACGCCCACCGCCACCGAGGAGUUCAGCGCCCCCGACCUCGAGAACCUCAUCCACACCAAGUGGAACGACGCAACAGUUACCUGGAAUGGAACCAUGCCUUACGUUUAAGCAAAGAACCCCAAACGCAUCGAGAAAUUACCUCCCGACCUGUCCCUGCAGUCUUCAUCUGGAGAUCUCCACUGCCUUUCCUCGUGCAUUGCAAGCUCUUCCUCAUGCUCCAUCUUCUAUACUCAUUGACUUACUUUACUCACACUAUUUGCCCUUAUAUUUUCUCAUGAUAACUCUUUUUUUUUUUUUUUUGCUACUCUUUUGGCAGUAUACUAGAACCCUUUUUAUACUCAUUGACUUACUUUACUCACACUAUUUGCCCUUAUAUUUUCUCAUGAUAACUCUUUUUUUUUUGCUACUCU